This 1143-nucleotide long non-coding RNA is filed under the name Sus scrofa (pig). Its description in RNAcentral is "lncRNA (ENSSSCG00070003455.1)". Lineage: Eukaryota; Metazoa; Chordata; Mammalia; Artiodactyla; Suidae. The record is from RNAcentral.
AUGGAUGCGAGGGGCCCAGUUGUCAGUCUGCUCGUCAGACCCGACAGCGGACGCCUCUGUUCCUCCCGCGGCCGCGGCCCCGCCGUCUUUUUGUUCCCUGGCCUCGCCAACAUCUGUGAAAAGUCCCGGCCGAGGUGCGGCGGGCGGCCCCGUCAACCACCAGGCCCACGCCUCCCGCCCCCGUGUGCAGCCCCCUCUGCACAGGCCUGGGGGGCAGCGGGGAACGCCCCAGUCCGGGCUGGCCACCCCCCGGGGGUGAGGCCACAUGCCCUGGACCGGGCCCGGGUCAUGUGCCCAGAAGCCCCCAGCGAUGAGGAGGGCAGAGGGACAGAAGUCAGAAGAACAGGGCACGUCCCACAAAGGGCCGGCCCCCGGGACGGUGGGGGCGAGGGCAGCGACAUUCCUCGGACGGCGGUGGGAACUCCCAAAUACGGCCCCGCUACUGCUGUUUUUAGCCCAUUCCACAUAAUUGGAAAAACAUGGGGCAAACCAAAGCCAGCUGGGCACCUCCGCCUGCGCGGCCACGAGGAGGGAGGGGGCAGGGAGGCCGGCGCUGGACGGCCGGGCUCUGGGACGGCGGCCUGCUCGGCCCCCCUGGGGCUCACCCAGCCCCCAGCAGAGCCAGGGCUCAGGAGGGGUCAGUGGCCGAGACAGCCCUCCAGUCUCAGAACCUACAGGACCCUCGCUGGGGCCACUUUAGGAGGGGCUGGGGCACCAGGCACACGGCACCCUGGAGCCAGCAGGUAUCACCCCACCCCCAGGGCCGUGGGACACGAGACGCCCCUCAGCCCAAAGGCAGGGAGUCAGUCCCAACUCUCCCAUCCUGUCUGUGUGCCCCACCCCCAGAAGGUGUCAAGGACACACAGCCUCUACUUUGUCCCCCCCCCCCGCCCCUGUCCCCAAGAGGGAAGUGCGCCAAUCUCCCUACUUCACCGGCAAGGGAACUGCAGCUCGGAAGGCUCCCGUGACACCCCCACUUUGCUGGCGCCUGGCAGCACUCGGAUCCAGCCCCCCCACUCCAUCCUCCACUCCUGGGGACCCUGCACCUCCCCGGGACGUCGCAGGCCCCCAGUUGCGAGGUCCGAGCAUCACCCCAUCUCAGCUCCUUCCUUGGGGAAGGCACUGACCCCUACACAGGGCUGA